This 74-nucleotide transfer RNA is filed under the name Planctomycetota bacterium. RNAcentral describes it as "Planctomycetes bacterium (anaerobic digester metagenome) tRNA-Arg". It matches the Rfam family "tRNA". From Rfam's summary of the family: Transfer RNA (tRNA) molecules are approximately 80 nucleotides in length. The record is from RNAcentral. Lineage: Bacteria; Pseudomonadati; Planctomycetota.
GCGGGCGUAGCUCAAUUGGAUAGAGCAUCGGUCUACGGAACCGAAGGUUACAGGUUCGAGUCCUGUCGCCCGUA